UACGUAGGGUGCGAGCGUUGUCCGGAAUUAUUGGGCGUAAAGAGCUCGUAGGCGGCUUGUCGCGUCGGCUGUGAAAGCCCGGGGCUUAACUCCGGGUCUGCAUUCGAUACGGGCAGGCUAGAGUUCGGUAGGGGAGAUCGGAAUUCCUGGUGUAGCGGUGAAAUGCGCAGAUAUCAGGAGGAACACCGGUGGCGAAGGCGGAUCGCUGGGCCGAUACUGACGCUGAGGAGCGAAAGCGUGGGGAGCGAACAGG
RNAcentral lists this ribosomal RNA (253 nucleotides) under uncultured bacterium. RNAcentral's name for it is "partial 16S ribosomal RNA". It matches the Rfam family "Bacterial small subunit ribosomal RNA", at positions 524 to 776 of the family's 1533-position model. The record is from RNAcentral.